GUGACAGCAGCCGCGGUAACACGUAGGGGGCGAGCGUUGUCCGGAUUUAUUGGGCGUAAAGAGCUCGUAGGCGGCUCGGUAAGUCAGGUGUGAAAACUCUAGGCUCAACCUAGAGACGCCACCUGAUACUGCUGUGGCUAGAGUCCGGUAGGGGAGCAUGGAAUUCCUGGUGUAGCGGUGAAAUGCGCAGAUAUCAGGAGGAACACCAGUGGCGAAGGCGGUGCUCUGGGCCGGAACUGACGCUGAGGAGCGAAAGCGUGGGGAGCAAACAGGAUUAGAUACCCCCGUAGUCC
This 293-nucleotide ribosomal RNA is filed under the name uncultured bacterium. RNAcentral describes it as "partial 16S ribosomal RNA". It matches the Rfam family "Bacterial small subunit ribosomal RNA", at positions 505 to 796 of the family's 1533-position model. The record is from RNAcentral.